Molecule: non-coding RNA, 30 nt
Filed under: Mus musculus (house mouse)
Lineage: Eukaryota; Metazoa; Chordata; Mammalia; Rodentia; Muridae
Source: RNAcentral
AUCCGGUGUUUGGCUAGUUGAUGUCUAAGG